This 74-nucleotide transfer RNA is filed under the name Candidatus Omnitrophota bacterium. RNAcentral's name for it is "Candidatus Omnitrophica bacterium (sediment metagenome) tRNA-Arg". It matches the Rfam family "tRNA". Rfam says of the family: Transfer RNA (tRNA) molecules are approximately 80 nucleotides in length. Their secondary structure includes four short double-helical elements and three loops (D, anti-codon, and T loops). Lineage: Bacteria; Pseudomonadati; Candidatus Omnitrophota. The record is from RNAcentral.
GCGCCCGUAGCUCAGUUGGAUAGAGUAGCUGGCUUCGAACCAGUCGGCCGCAGGUUCGAGUCCUGCCGGGCGCG